GGGCCCGCACAAGCGGUGGAGCAUGUGGUUUAAUUCGAUGAUACGCGAGGAACCUUACCAGGGCUUAAAUGCAGAGCGACAGAGGUGGAAACACCUCCUUCUUCGGACGGUCUGCAAGGUGCUGCAUGGUUGUCGUCAGCUCGUGCUGUGAAGUGUCGGGUUAAGUCCCAUAACGAGCGCAACCCCUAUUUCUAGUUGCCAGCGGUUCGGCCGGGGACUCUAGAGAAACUGCCAGCGUAAGCUGUGAGGAAGGUGGGGAUGACGUCAAAUCAUCACGGCCCUUACGUCCUGGGCCACACACGUGCUACAAUGGUAAGGACAGAGAGUUGCCAACCCGCGAGGGUGAGCUAAUCUUUAAAAGUACGUCUCAGUUCGGAUUGAAGUCUGCAACUCGACUUCAUGAAGCUGGAAUC
Molecule: ribosomal RNA, 413 nt
Filed under: uncultured bacterium
Lineage: Bacteria
Description: bacterial SSU rRNA
Rfam family: Bacterial small subunit ribosomal RNA
Source: RNAcentral